Molecule: ribosomal RNA, 114 nt
Filed under: Candidatus Peregrinibacteria bacterium
Lineage: Bacteria; Candidatus Peregrinibacteriota
Source: RNAcentral
CAGGACGGCCAUAGGGAUGGAGUUCACCUGUUCCCAUUUCGAACACAGAAGUUAAGCCAUUCUUCGCCGAUGAUACUCUGAGCAGAGCUCGCGGGAAAGUAGGACGUUGCCAGC